UAGUAGUCGCGCAUCUUCUGAUCACGCUCCAGUGAGGGAAUUAAGGACAGCACGUUGUCCUUGUAACGGGGAUGCAGCAGGGUGGCCACCCAGUUAUCAGCACAAGUUAGAAUGUGGGCAACUCGGCAGUCGUUGUGCAGGCACUUUAGUGACUCAAGAUAACCCUGGGCCGAUUGCACGUCCCACGGCGACGACGCAUUCGGAUGUCUGCCCUAUCAACUUUCGAUGGUACUUUCUGCACCUAUCAUGGUGACCACGGGUAACAGGGAAUCAGGGUUCGAUUCCA
This is a non-coding RNA of Pelobates cultripes (western spadefoot toad), 286 nucleotides long. The record is from the annotation of a GenBank genome assembly. Lineage: Eukaryota; Metazoa; Chordata; Amphibia; Anura; Pelobatidae.